RNAcentral lists this ribosomal RNA (118 nucleotides) under Carlito syrichta (Philippine tarsier). Lineage: Eukaryota; Metazoa; Chordata; Mammalia; Primates; Tarsiidae. The record is from RNAcentral.
GACUACAGUCAUGCCACCCCACAUGCGCCUGAUCUCAACAGAUCUUGGAAGCUAAGCAGGGUCUGGCCAGGUUAGUACUCGGAUGGGAGCAGAGGCACAGAGGCCACAGCUGUGGACU